UCAAAUGCAAUUUUUAUACAUUUGCCAACCUUAUACAUGUUGUAGACUUAUAAGUUGUAUUAAA
Ciona intestinalis (vase tunicate) is the source of this 64-nucleotide non-coding RNA. Lineage: Eukaryota; Metazoa; Chordata; Ascidiacea; Phlebobranchia; Cionidae. The record is from RefSeq.